Fragaria vesca subsp. vesca is the source of this 2681-nucleotide RNA transcript. It is a transcript of the gene named probable sucrose-phosphate synthase 2-like, with no coding region annotated. Lineage: Eukaryota; Viridiplantae; Streptophyta; Magnoliopsida; Rosales; Rosaceae. The record is from RefSeq and is a predicted model, not a curated record. The transcript has 9 exons.
AUGAAGCCAUGGUCCAUGGAUGAUCAUCAAUCUCAAAGCGGAAUAUCAUCUAAAGCUGUGGGCGAGAGUAAAGAUUGGAUAAAUGAGCUGCCGGAUUGCAUUCUGUCAUAUAUACUUUCAUUGUUAACUAUCAAAGAUGCAGCGGAGACUAGCAUUGUAUGCCGCCGGUGGAGAAAUCUUUGGACGGCAAGGCCUUCUGAUCUUGUUUUAGACAUUGCAAAUAUUUUUGGAUCCGUGUAUGCUCCAGUCGUUGCAAGACAUGAGAGAUACUAUACUUUUGCAUCCAUGACUCCUCAAUUUGAGAGGCAGUGCUAUAUACAACGUGUGAAUAAAGUUUUGGAGCUCUUGUCUUGCAACAAGCUAGACUCAUUCAAAGUGGCAUUCUUUUUGGAUCGAGAAGAUACUCAAGCUCUUGACAAAUGGUGUUCUUCAUAUUCUGAGGGCUGCACCACUCCUGGAAGAACUUCUAAUGACGGGGUUCCGUUAGAGAUAGAGUUUGGCAUUUGCAUUCUUAAACUUGCAACAAAGCUCGAGUUAAUGGUGAUUGAUCCACUUGGAUCCGUCUACGACGGUGAUGGAAGGUGGUACGAUCUCACCUGUGGUUAUCAGUAUGGGAACGAGAAUGAGCAUCCGGGGUUAAUAGAGGGGCACACAAGCGAUCUGGAGUUGUUUUGGGUUUCCUCAUUUGUUCCUGGAAAUUGGAUGAAAGUUUCUGUGUCAGUUUGGUUGCCUUUUAGUGAUAAUGUCUUCUCUGGAUAUGAUGUUAAGAUUAUAUCCCUGAAGGAAAGACAUGGUCUUCCACUGCCUCAUAGCAAUCUUUUGCCCGUCCCUGAACUCGAAGGAAACCAGUUGGCUGAGAAGGCAGUAAAAGCAAGAGCACUUAAUAAUGGUUUGCUUGUCGACCCUCAUGAUCAGCAAUCAAUUUCUAACGCAUUGCUGAAGUUGUUAUCGGAAAAGAAUUUAUGGGUUGACUGUAGAAAGAAUGGAUGGAAAAACAUACACCUUUUCUCAUGGCCUGAACACUGCCGAACCUACUUGACUAGCGUAGCAGCCUGCUGCAUGAGAUAUCCACAGUGGCAGACUGACACUCCGGAGGAUGAAAUGGCUGCUGAGGAGUCCUUCAAUGACUCUCUCAGGGACAUGCAAGAUAUGUCUCUUAGGCUCUCAGUUGAUGGGGACAAAUCCUCACUGAAUGAAUCUCUAGAUGUGACUACAACUUCUGGUGACCAUGAGGUGCAAGAUCAAGUGAAGUGUGUCCUAAGCAAGAUGAAGAAGUCGGAUUCUGGUCCAGACGACCAUGAAGACGGAAAUAAGCUGCCGGAUAAUGUAUCCAGCAAGUAUCUUUUGUUAAGACAUAGAAGAAAAUUGAUUGUCAUAGCACUUGAUUGCUAUGACCAAUCUGGAGCGCCUGAUAAGAAAAUUAUUCAAGUUGUGCAAGAAAUAUUUAAGGCUGUAAGACUAGAUUCUCAAAGCGCAAGAUUUACAGGGUUUGCUCUGCUGACGGCUAUGCCGGCUUUGGAGACGGUAGAGUUUUUGGCAUCAGGGAAGAUUCAGGCAAAUGAGUUUGAUGCUUUGGUUUGUAGCAGUGGAAGCGAGGUUUACUACCCUGGUACUUAUACAGAAGAAGAUGGAAGGCUUUUUCCAGAUCCAGAUUAUUCGUCACACAUUGACUACUGAUGGGGCUGUGAAGGAUUAAAGAAAACCAUUUGGAAGCUCUUAAAUGCCCCUGAUGGUGAAUGAAAUUCGGGAUCUUCCAACCAAAUUGAAGAAGAUUUGAAAUCAAGCAAUUCCCAUUGCAUUUCAUACUUAAUCAAGGAUCCUAGUAAGGCAAGGAAAGUUGAUGAUUUAAGGCAGAAACUCAGGAGGCGCGGACUACGCUGCCAUCCAAUGUACUGCAGGAGCUCAACACGAAUGCAAAUUGUUCCGCUCCUUGCUUCUCGAGCACAGGCUCUCAGGUAUCUUUUUGUAUGCUGGAGAUUGAAUGUCGCAAACGUGUACGUGUUCCUUGGAGAAAGUGGGGACACCAAUUAUGAAGAAAUGAUUGCAGGGACUCACAAGACCAUAAUCAUGAAAGGGGCGGUGGGAAAGGGUUCUGAAGAGCUGCUAAGAACAUCAGGAAGCUAUUUGAGAGACGACAUUGUUCCUCCUCAGAGCCCAUUGGUCGCCAUUGUAAAUGGGCAAGCUCCAACAGCUGAUGAGAUUGCGACUGCUUUGAAGAAGUCAGCAAAUCUGCUGCUGGAAUGUGAUUACGAUGUCACUAGAAUCUGAGUUAUGUACUUUGAGAAGAAACAAAACAAAAGGCGGAGUGUCAAUGAAACCCAUCUAAACACGGCCUAGUACUAACUACUAAGAAUGCAGCUAGCCAACUGGUCGUCACAAGUCGCAAGUAAUCUGGUUGGUGAGAUAAUAUGUAGGAGAGCAUGCAAAAGAUAUUUAUAUAUGGAUGUAUACAUACUCGAAUGUUCUAUACUGUCCACCAGCCAUAAUUAUGUGAAGGUAUUGUACCUGAUCAGUCAGGUUGGCCCCUAUUUGAUUAAACAGAAAACUGCUAAAUGAUAAGCAGAUGAUGAAUGUAAAAUAGAAUUUACAAGUGACAAUAUCCUUUUUACUUGUUAAGAAUUUCUCCAAUUCAUUUGCAUUCUUACUUCUUAGCAGAGAAUUGACUGUAAAAUAGAACAAAA